UACAGAGGGUGCGAGCGUUAAUCGGAAUGAUUGGGCGUAAAGGGCGCGUAGGCGGUAAGAGAAGUUGGAUGUGAAAUCCCUAGGCUUAACCUGGGAACUGCAUCCAAAACUAGCUUACUUGAGUUCAGCAGAGGGAAGUAGAAUUUCCAGUGUAGCGGUGAAAUGCGUAGAUAUUGGAAGGAAUACCAGUGGCGAAGGCGACUUUCUGGGCAUGAACUGACGCUGAGGCGCGAAAGCAUGGGGAGCGAACAGGAUUAGAUACCCCCGUA
This 269-nucleotide ribosomal RNA is filed under the name uncultured prokaryote. RNAcentral's name for it is "partial 16S ribosomal RNA". It matches the Rfam family "Bacterial small subunit ribosomal RNA", at positions 524 to 792 of the family's 1533-position model. The record is from RNAcentral.